GAAAUUUAUAAUACUAAACUUCUAAUUUAGCUAAUAGUGAUUUUUCAUUAAAAUUUCU
Molecule: transfer RNA, 58 nt
Filed under: Athripsodes aterrimus
Lineage: Eukaryota; Metazoa; Arthropoda; Insecta; Trichoptera; Leptoceridae
Description: tRNA-Ser
Source: RNAcentral